UUAAAUUAAACAUUUUGUAUAAACUUAAACUAAAAUUAAUUAUAAUAAUAAAAGGAAAACAAAAGAUGCUUUUCAUUUUGAUUGCUUUAUUUCUGGCCUACACUUCUAUCAAAUCAAUUAACAUUUAUUACUAAUUAACUGACCCGACGGACGUUGCCCUGUCCAAAUUUUCCGACUUUCCUUUGUAAUUGUCUCGAAUUUUUUUUCCUGAAAACUUUUCCAGGACCAUAACGAACAAAACAAAAAAAGAAUUACGCAUAUCCAUCGUUCGAAUCGUGAAUUAUGAUCUUCAGUUCUUACAAAAAUCCCAUAGUAAAAAGCACUUUCAUUUUUUCCCGAGUUUUCCAUUUUUCCGGGCAGCUUUUCUAAUUUUUCUUUCCCUAAAAACCUUAUUCGGGCUAUUGCGAACAUUAAAAAAAAAAAUUAGCCAAAUCGGUCCAGCAUUUAUAUGACGAAUAGCAUUUAAUUUUUAUUUAUAUAGAUAAUAAACGUUCCUACAAAUUUUCAAUGGGUUUGAGGUCUGGAGAAUUUCCAGGCCAGUCAAGAACUUUCACUUUUUUCAACUGUGUAUCGUAACUUUACAACCAUCAUUAAAAUACAUCAUUAAUAAAAAAUAACAAAAACUCCGUUUAACUAGAUUGAUCAUUUUUAUGUAAAAUCAUCAAUUUAUGCGACUGGCUCUAAUAAUUUGAUCAGCCACUGUAUAUUAAUUUCGCUCGUAUGAUACAGACAGGGAAAAAGUAAAAUAUUCACAAGGGAGACGCGGGGAGUUAAUAAUUCGAACGGAAGAAAAUAAAGUAAGAAGGAAACUCAAGGACACGAAUCACACACCAGUGCUUGAAUAACGCGACACACUUGCAGAGUGGUGUGCAACAGUGUGGCGAGAAUUCGCGAUAAUAGCGAGCUAGCUGCCGGCUACUAAGCCGCGCUAUGUACGGGUAUCUGCGAUCGUCCUCGCAUUUUUCACCAUCUUAGCAAAGCGUGUUGCAUCAGUUAAGGAGAUCUAGACGCGUUCAACCUUCUGCACCGCGAGCGACCUUCGAGUCGAAUUACCCAUUCGGAGCAGCCGCGAGCUGUUCGGCGCGUAAUCCAGCUCGAUAUCGAUUAAUUGCAGCUUCGAUCGAGCGAGAAACACCGCCGGGCCUCGAUCGAACGUCGAUUUUCGAAAGGUUUCCAUCGAAUCUUAAACCCCCCUCCAACUUCUCCUAUACGAAACUUUGCGGAAAUUGAAAAUCACGUUCCGUCGAGAAUUUUUCGCGACUAAGGAAAAAUAAUGGAUUCUCCGUAACUGGUUAACGCAAUGGAGGAAAUUCAGUGGCCGGUUAUUGUUUUUCUGCAACGGGCACCGUUCUCCGACAAGGCUAUUUCUGCCUCCUCGUAUUUCAACUCGAAACCGGACUCGUGGCACUAAUGAAUCGCGGCUCUCUUGGUAUUGCAUAAGCCUAUCUUUUUCUUGCGUUUUAUACGUCCAUCGAUUCUUGUACUCGCGCCCGCGCCAGUGUAAUUUGUAAUUAUUGUCCGCGACGAGCCGCCUUUGCGAGAGAUUUCGAUCCUCCUUGGAUCAUCAAUCUUCCCCACCGUUCCUCCUCCUUAUCGUUGAAAAAUUGUGAAAUUUUUUUAAUUCUCAAUCGUUUUUCAUUAAAAAAUUCUUGAUCUUAUCUAACAACUCGAUGAAUAAAAUUAUGGUAAAUGUCUGCAAUUAGGGCCCCAACGAGAAAUCAAUUGAAAAGAGGUAAAUUCUAUGUAUUUUUGCCCCCCGAAUCUAAAACUGUUGAUAAAAUUUGUGGGUCGCUUGUAUUUACUAAGAUAUUCUGGUAAAUACUGACAUAAAAUCAUUAUUUUCAGAAGUUAAUGACAUUGUGAGGUAGACGAUACUUUUAAAGGGCGUCGCUAACCUACAUAGGUUAGGUUAGGUUAUCAGAAAAAAUAUAACUUACCUUACGGCGAAAACUUGACCAGUCAACAAUAGUCUCCUAGCUCGGUUCUAAUUCCUGUUCAUAGAAUGCAGCGCGGAGGACGCAUCAUGAGAAAAUAUCCAAUAUAAAACUAGCAAUCGUCGUGAUAUCAAGAUUAGAAUCGGCGUACCACUUUUAAUACUUAAUUUAAAUUCACACUUUGAAAUUAUUCUUUCCAAGGAGACUAUUGUUGACUGGUCAAGUUUUUCCUGUGAGUGUUGGAUUCGAGCGGCAAAAAUACAUAAAAUUUACCUCUUUUCAAUUGAUUUUUCAUUAGGGCCCUAAUUGUAGACGUUUACCAAAAUUAUUGCCGAGUUUCAAGAGUUUUCAAUUAAUUCUCGCUUCCGCCCAGAGAAACUGAAUUUUCGGCUAUAGCGAACGCGUAAAUCGCUGCGUGGAAGAUAUCGGUGAUAAACGUUAAAUUUAACCGUCACUUUCGACACGGAAUGCGGCGAGAAUUGGCUUGACCUACAGAGCACUCUGUUUCAUAUUUAUCGGCAACGUACCAUAAAUGAUCGCCGAGAAAUGCGCGCUAUUUAGCUCGUUCUGUUCGAGCCUUCCGACGCGAAUACCAUUGAAGAGGAGUACCAUUUUCAUGCGAAAUAACCAAAUGAAAAACAUAUGCAAAAUACCGCAGUUGUUUGAUGGAAGAAAAAGAAUCAAAGCUAUCGUCGAGGAUACACUUCUUCGCCGUAGGUGUCGGACGUUCACGGCCGCGGUGCAUAGAAACGAGGCGUAAUUAAGAGUAGAAUCGCAUUGAAAUCGCGCAUUAAGCGUGUCUAUGCGCGUGCACAAAUGUAUCCUGCAAAAGGACAAAGCGCAGAAAUACCACAAUUACGCGGAAAAUCUAUAAAUAUACCGGCGUGUCCUGUUGCAAAAUAAUCGUCAUUUUCGAGUAAUGCAAUUUUUAUUUAUGCAAUCGCAUUAUUUCGUACCUCGGUCUCUUUCAGUUUUCUAUUUUGCACAUCAAUGUCGCACACGUACACGGGAUUUCCAUUAAAAAAGAAACCUCUCGUGGCUGUUGUCUACGUCCACUUAUCUUUUACAUUCCAACGGAGCCAAGGUUAAACGGAGGGGCAAGAAAAAGACGUUCCUCUUUUUGAAUGAAAGAAAAUGAUUGAAAAAGAAAAAAUAAAGUAUCGUGCUAGAAGAUCGUCCCAGUUAAUUCACAUUUCCUAUCUCCCAGAUUCUCCUAGGAGAUCAGGAUAAUUAUAUUAACAAGGUACACCUCGAUGAACGAGUUAAUUAAAGAUCGACCAAUUAGAGAACGGGGUCGUACGAAUGACUUCGUGGAAAUUAUGCGAUGCCCGUUGGCAAUCAAUCGAUGCUGUUACUUCACCAUUUCAUUUCGUCUAUUUGCUCGCCAAUUGGAUAAGAAUACAAGGACGAUUCCGAUUGGAUUUCCUGCCGAACGAAUUGAACACGAUCAGAUGUUGAUCGAUGACCAAAUUAGUCGAUUCGGUCGAAAUUAUUUGGGAAGAUGAUGGAGACUGGUAUCUUCGAAAGAUUCGACGACCGGGGGGGCACGAUCCGAGGGGAUGCGUUUUUGUUUUUGUAGCGUUACAUUUUUCUUAAUUAUUUCAUCUUAUGUAAUCUUUAUGUUAUUUUUCUUAAUUAAAAUUAUUUUCUUGAAUUUCAA
Osmia lignaria (orchard mason bee) is the source of this 3594-nucleotide non-coding RNA. The record is from RefSeq and is a predicted model, not a curated record. Lineage: Eukaryota; Metazoa; Arthropoda; Insecta; Hymenoptera; Megachilidae.